Molecule: long non-coding RNA, 300 nt
Filed under: Capsicum annuum
Lineage: Eukaryota; Viridiplantae; Streptophyta; Magnoliopsida; Solanales; Solanaceae
Description: long non-coding RNA (CANN_LNC012722)
Source: RNAcentral
ACUUGGUGGGGGUUUUAUUCUUGUCAUGAUUCCGUGUUCCGUGUUUCAUGUUGUAUUACGAAUCUGUGUGCUUUCCACUGCUUUCCUCUGCUUUAUAUUACUUAUGGGUGCCGUAUUUAUGUUAUGUAAUCUGCUUCUGUGAUGCACUAUGUGUUUGUGUGGUAUCGCGUGCCUUGAGCCGAGGGUCUAUCGGAAACAACCUUUCUACUUCAUCAGAGGUAGAGGUAUGGACUGCGUACAUCUUACCCCCCCCAGACCCCACUAGGUGGGAAUACACUGGGUUUGUUGUUGUUGUUGUUG